AAAAGACUGGUUUUUUUAAUAUCUCUAUAGUCCAAGAAUCUAGCACAAUAACCUAGUUAUCAUAGGGCUUUCCAUAUAUAUUUAGUGAAUUCGUUAUUUGACACAAAUCUGUGAUAGCCACUUCUGCCUGCACUUUGAGUCUCCAGGAGGGUGCUGGGAUCACACCAAGAACCAGGAUGCUGAUGGCCCAGUAGACAUGGAAGCCCCAAGAAUGGGAACCAGAAGCUUUAUCUUGAAGGCCAGGAGGGCUUGCAUCUUCCUAGGAUAGCACCGAAAAGAAGGAAAAGGAAAAGCAAUUUCCUCUCCUUAUUAGCGUUUCCUAACCUCUCACAUGUGUAGCCAUCACUUCAGGUGCACCGAGGACUGAGGACUCCAGGCACGGCUCUUUAAAUGAGCCCAGCAGUGCCAGUGCACACCGAGGACUGUAAAUAUUAAAUAACAAGAAAACAAUUAAGUUUCUGGGACUUCUCAGUGGGUGCUUAUUCCUGGCAGUCAUUAUUGGCAUCUGAAGUCCUGGGUUGAGGAAUUAGAAUCAACAGUCCUUUUUCCAUUUCAAUUUUUG
Molecule: long non-coding RNA, 562 nt
Filed under: Equus caballus (horse)
Lineage: Eukaryota; Metazoa; Chordata; Mammalia; Perissodactyla; Equidae
Description: lncRNA (ENSECAG00000059386.1)
Source: RNAcentral